CUUCCGUUUCAGCUGUCACUAUGUGAGCCGAGCUCCUGGCAGUUUGGUGAGCAGGAGUAAAGCUCCCCAUGAUGGAAAACCUCAGCUGCUGUUGUACGGAAACCUGUGGAGAGCUUCUCCCUCAGUAUUUGGAGCCACCCACAACCAUGCCAGACCCUCCAUGACCACCGAAGAAGAGAGUCCAGUUCUCCCUCCACAAUAAGGUCUACUCCAUUGAGGACACCAAGGAGGGUACCUUGGAGAUUGACUCAUUACGUUGAUUGGAGAUUUUUCUAUAAAGAUUUCUCUAUAAAGGAAAAGAUUGGGACACAGACUCACACAGAGGAAGACCAUGUAACAACACAGGGAAGUGGCCGUCCAUGGGCCCAAAGAGAGGCCUCAGAAGAAACCAAACCUGCGGACACCUUGAUCUUGGACUUUCAGUCUCCAGAAAUGUGAAAUCGUGAAUUUCUAUUGUUGAAGCCCCCUACUCCGCGGGACUUUGCACUGGCAGCCCUGCGAGACUCACACACCUUGCUCAGCCCCUCAUUUCCCAAACACAUUAAACUAGAGAAGUUUCCUUGUUU
Molecule: long non-coding RNA, 566 nt
Organism: Enhydra lutris kenyoni (northern sea otter)
Lineage: Eukaryota; Metazoa; Chordata; Mammalia; Carnivora; Mustelidae
Exons: 3
Source: RefSeq, a predicted model, not a curated record